CAGAAGUUCAACUUCAGCUUGGUGAACGUUUCAUUGUUGAAGAAAUGACGAGGCAUCGCAUAGGGAACAUCUCGUCCAAGAGUAUAGAAGAAGGGUGUGGUGUACAGAAGUUAUGAAAUCCUUUAGCGUCUUCUGUUCUGAUGGUAGAUGGAAUUUCAGAGUAGACACAGAGGUCCAUAACCGGUCCCACCUUCUUGAGAGGGUGCUUGUCUUGAUGGCAUCUCUGGCUUUUCAACAUACAAUGAUGGCUAAGGCAGAGAGAAUCAGGGAACAACCUUGUGAACAAAUAACGAGGUUUUCACUUUUCCCUCAU
Long non-coding RNA from Ipomoea nil (Japanese morning glory), 313 nucleotides. RefSeq lists it as uncharacterized. NCBI's taxonomy places the organism in Eukaryota, Viridiplantae, Streptophyta, Magnoliopsida, Solanales, Convolvulaceae. The transcript is spliced from 3 exons. The record is from RefSeq and is a predicted model, not a curated record.